RNAcentral lists this ribosomal RNA (492 nucleotides) under uncultured bacterium. RNAcentral describes it as "partial 16S ribosomal RNA". It matches the Rfam family "Bacterial small subunit ribosomal RNA", at positions 29 to 507 of the family's 1533-position model. The record is from RNAcentral.
AUUGAACACUGGCGGCAUGCUUUACACAUGCAAGUCGAACGGUAACAGGCCUUCGGGUGCUGACGAGUGGCGAACGGGUGAGUAAUGCAUCGGAACGUACCCAGAGGUGGGGGAUAACGCAGCGAAAGCUGUGCUAAUACCGCAUGUGAUCUGAGGAUGAAAGCGGGGGACCGAGCAGCAAUGUUUGGCCUCGCGCCUUUGGAGCGGCCGAUGUCGGAUUAGCUAGUUGGUGGGGUAAAGGCCUACCAAGGCGACGAUCCGUAGCUGGUCUGAGAGGACGACCAGCCACACUGGGACUGAGACACGGCCCAGACUCCUACGGGAGGCAGCAGUGGGGAAUUUUGGACAAUGGGCGCAAGCCUGAUCCAGCAAUGCCGCGUGCGGGAAGAAGGCCUUCGGGUUGUAAACCGCUUUUGGCAGGAACGAAACGGUGUCCGCUAAUACCGGGCGCUAAUGACGGUACCUGCAGAAUAAGCACCGGCUAACUACGUG